GACGAACGCUGGCGGCGUGCUUAACACAUGCAAGUCGAACGGAAAGGCCCUGCUUUUGUGGGGUGCUCGAGUGGCGAACGGGUGAGUAACACGUGAGUAACCUGCCCUUGACUUUGGGAUAACUUCAGGAAACUGGGGCUAAUACCGGAUAGGAGCCCCUGCUGCAUGGUGGGGGUUGGAAAGUUUCGGCGGUUGGGGAUGGACUCGCGGCUUAUCAGCUUGUUGGUGGGGUAGUGGCUUACCAAGGCUUUGACGGGUAGCCGGCCUGAGAAGGUGACCGGCCACAUUGGGACUGAGAUACGGCCCAGACUCCUACGGGAGGCAGCAGUGGGGAAUAUUGCACAAUGGGCGGAAGCCUGAUGCAGCAACGCCGCGUGCGGGAUGACGGCCUUCGGGUUGUAAACCGCUUUCGCCUGUGACGAAGCGUGAGUGACGGUAAUGGGUAAAGAAGCACCGGCUAACUACGUG
Molecule: ribosomal RNA, 468 nt
Filed under: uncultured bacterium
Lineage: Bacteria
Description: partial 16S ribosomal RNA
Rfam family: Bacterial small subunit ribosomal RNA
Source: RNAcentral